UGCAGUCGAACGCGAACGUUUCCUUCGGGGAACUAGUAGAGUGGCGCACGGGUGAGUAACGCGUAAGUAAUCUACCCUCGCAUUCGGGAUAACCCACCGAAAGGUGUGCUAAUACCGGAUACGUCUCAUUUAAUAUCUUUUGAUGAGAGAAAGGUGGCCUCUUGAAUCAAAGCUACUGUGCGGGGAGGAGCUUGCGUACCAUUAGCUAGUUGGUAGGGUAACGGCCUACCAAGGCGAUGAUGGUUAGCGGGUCUGAGAGGAUGAUCCGCCACACUGGAACUGGAACACGGACCAGACUCCUACGGGAGGCAGCAGUGAGGAAUAUUGCGCAAUGGGGGCAACCCUGACGCAGCGACGCCGCGUGGAUGAUGAAGGCCUUCGGGUUGUAAAAUCCUGUCAGAUGGGAAGAAGUGUGUAUCACCCAAUACGUGAUACAUUUGACGGUACCAUCAAAGGAAGCACCGGCUAACUCCGUGCCAGCAGCCGCGGUAAUACGGAGGGUGCAAGCGUUGUUCGGAAUUACUGGGCGUAAAGCGCGCGUAGGCGGCUAGAUAAGUCAGAUGUGAAAGCCCGCGGCUCAACCGUGGAAGAGCAUUUGAAACUGUCUAGCUUGAGUACUGGAGGGGGUAGUGGAAUUCCCGGUGUAGAGGUGAAAUUCGUAGAUAUCGGGAGGAAUACCGGUGGCGAAGGCGACUACCUGGCCAGAUACUGACGCUGAGGUGCGAAAGCGUGGGGAGCAAACAGGAUUAGAUACCCUGGUAGUCCACGCCGUAAACGAUGUCAACUA
Molecule: ribosomal RNA, 787 nt
Filed under: uncultured Desulfobacteraceae bacterium
Lineage: Bacteria; Pseudomonadati; Thermodesulfobacteriota; Desulfobacteria; Desulfobacterales; Desulfobacteraceae
Description: bacterial SSU rRNA
Rfam family: Bacterial small subunit ribosomal RNA
Source: RNAcentral